UACGUAGGGGGCAAGCGUUGUCCGGAUUUACUGGGCGUAAAGAGCGUGUAGGCGGCCACGCAGGUCCGUUGUGAAAACUGGAGGCUCAACCUCCAGCUGUCGACGGAAACCGUAUGGCUAGAGUCCGGAAGAGGAGAGUGGAAUUCCUGGUGUAGCGGUGAAAUGCGCAGAUAUCAGGAAGAACACCAAUGGCGAAGGCAGCUCUCUGGGACGGUACUGACGCUGAGACGCGAAAGCGUGGGGAGCGAACAUG
RNAcentral lists this ribosomal RNA (253 nucleotides) under uncultured bacterium. Its description in RNAcentral is "partial 16S ribosomal RNA". It matches the Rfam family "Bacterial small subunit ribosomal RNA", at positions 524 to 776 of the family's 1533-position model. The record is from RNAcentral.